GCUCAGUUGGUAAAGCACAAGGCUCUCAACCUUGUGGACGUGGAUUCAAGCCCCAU
This 56-nucleotide transfer RNA is filed under the name Triticum aestivum (bread wheat). It matches the Rfam family "tRNA", at positions 10 to 63 of the family's 71-position model. Rfam says of the family: Transfer RNA (tRNA) molecules are approximately 80 nucleotides in length. Their secondary structure includes four short double-helical elements and three loops (D, anti-codon, and T loops). Further hydrogen bonds mediate the characteristic L-shaped molecular structure. tRNAs have two regions of fundamental functional importance: the anti-codon, which is responsible for specific mRNA codon recognition, and the 3' end, to which the tRNAs corresponding amino acid is attached (by aminoacyl-tRNA synthetases). tRNAs cope with the degeneracy of the genetic code in two manners: having more than one tRNA (with a specific anti-codon) for a particular amino acid; and 'wobble' base-pairing, i.e. permitting non-standard base-pairing at the 3rd anti-codon position. The record is from Rfam by way of RNAcentral. Lineage: Eukaryota; Viridiplantae; Streptophyta; Magnoliopsida; Poales; Poaceae.